Leopardus geoffroyi (Geoffroy's cat) is the source of this 2280-nucleotide long non-coding RNA. RefSeq lists it as uncharacterized. The transcript is spliced from 2 exons. The record is from RefSeq and is a predicted model, not a curated record. Lineage: Eukaryota; Metazoa; Chordata; Mammalia; Carnivora; Felidae.
CCCAGCUUGUGCUCUGUCUCUCUCUCAAAGAAACAACAACAACAACAACAACAACAACAAUUUCCCUUCUGUCUCUAACAUUCAGGAAAUUCCAGUGUGGUGCCAGCGAGCUCCUUGACCACUCUCCGCCUUCAACAAUGAUUGGGAAUAAAUUGUUUUCCAUUGAAAGCAAUUGAUCCAGUGCCCCAAGACCACAUUUGGGAACGGCUUGUUCAGGGCAUUCCUCAACCAGGAGUUUCCUCGUGGAGCCAUUUAGACACCAAGGUGAGAGGUUGAGCCAGAGAAGUGACUUAGAGUUGGUGCCAUGUUUUCUACACUGAGCUAUCAUGAUAACAACACAUGGUGCCUUUCUGGCACGUUGGGUACAUAGUUCAUACUUCAUCCUCAACACGAUCACGAGAGGUUGUUAGAAAAGGAGCUGUUCCCCCCUCCCCAGUUAGCCAAUGAGAAGACAGAGUUUGGGGGGAGGCUCACAAAGCAAGUUCUAGAACUCCAUUUCUUCAGUUCCUAAUUUGCUGACUUUCCACGUGACUCUGGGCAGCCUAACAGACACUCCUCCUCUGUAUGAUGCCCUCAGAGACUUCCCAUUCCUGGAAUUGGUGCUUAGGGAAUGAUCUAGAUCAAGCCACUUAAAGACGGAGACGUUAGAUGGCACAGAUUAUACAAGGCCUUUCUCAGCAGAGUUCAUACCCUUUUGAUAGUUUGGAUAAUUAAUGGACUUCUAGAAGCCCGUAUUAUCUCAGACUCACAUAGCUUCUUUUGUACCCUGCCACUCACAACCGUCCUUUUCUUGUUGAGGUCCUUAGCACAGAUGCUCAAAACCAACAGCUCUCGCUCCACCUUAGCUAUUCAGAGUCUCUACCUUGGAAUGGGAAAUCUGUGUCAUCGUGAGCCCCUUAGCUUCACCUCCAACCGCCGUUGGCUUGUUGCCUUCUCUAAACCUGCAGAGAGGAAUUCCUUCUCUGGAUACACCUGCUGCUGGCAGGAGCUAAAGGCGAACGCGUACGUUUUCUUGCACAGAUUCUGGUGUUGAAGUACAGGGGGGUGGGGCAUGGGGGUGGGGAUCUGGCGCGCAACCCAGAAGGGUAGAGAAAACUGAAAUCACACCUCCCGUCUCUCCACAAAGGUUUGAUUCUCUUUAUGAGUAUGAUCCGCCAGUCCGUAAUCAAGGGUUAAUUUCACAGCUCACUGCUUCAUCUAGCAUAAUAUCCAUUCAGACUAAUUAAAUCUGUCUAAUAAUGUGAGUGUCUUUGUCUUUGUUCUUCCCCUUCUUUGUUUUACACCCUUCACAUCUCAUCUCCAGAACCACACGCCAUCACACUCUACUUGACAAGCAGAAUCCAUCCCUAAAAUUAAAACAUUCCUGACCUAUCUGCAAUGACAAGGCAGGCGAGCUUCACGGCGCUCCGGCCCAUGAAGGGAACUGACACAUUUGUUUUUAAUUUCAAAAGAGUAGAAAGUGAAGAUCUGACCCCGUCAAUCAAGCCCUGUGACAAGUUUAAUCAUUGGUGCCCCACAAAAAUCACGGCUAAAUAGGAAUGCAAAUACUGUAUCACAGGGCUCUUAUAAAUGCUAAUCAAGGAGAAGUAAUCAAGUGACAAUUUCACUGAUCUCUUUUCUGAAGAAGUCACUCAAUGCUCUGUCUCUGGGCCACAAAGAGAAGAGAACAGGACAAAAGGGAUGGAUGAGGGCCCCCCCCCCCCAACCUUCCUUUUAUUUUCCUUCCAGGACAUUUCUUUUUAAAGAGAGAAUUCGUUCUUUUGAUCCAUUGUUGAACUUUAAAGCGAGGAACUCGCGCAGCUAUAUGUCAAGUGUACUUUAUUAUCGGUACCCUGGCCGGGGAGAGAACGCACCGAAACUUCCGCUAAAAUAAAAAUCAUCAUUUGUCUUUGUCAUUAAUCUGUUCUCAAAUUCUCUUAUAUCUUAAAAGUGACUGACCUUCGCUGUGAGAGGGGAAGAAAAAAAAAGUUUUACAAGUAGUCGAAAAUCUGAAAAUUAUGAUCAUGGUAACUCAAAAAAAAAAAAAAAAAAAGAAGAAGAAGAAGAAGAAAAAUCCCUUUUAAAAACUUAAUCCAGGGUUGAUGAAGAAUUUAUCAUCACCAAGAAGUCCUGAGCCAGGCGUCUCUCCCCUCAGUGUGGAGGCUUCACUCUGCUCAGGGAGAGAAAUCAGAAAUUGGGGAGAUAUUUUUCAUGUACCCUUUUACACAGGACCUGAGAGCUUUGUGUGUUACCAAGCUUAGAACCGGAGGUUUUUUUUUUCUUUUCCUUGUCUCUAUUUUU